RNAcentral lists this long non-coding RNA (1292 nucleotides) under Triticum aestivum (bread wheat). Its description in RNAcentral is "long non-coding RNA (TAES_LNC007490)". Lineage: Eukaryota; Viridiplantae; Streptophyta; Magnoliopsida; Poales; Poaceae. The record is from RNAcentral.
CCACACAGACACAUACGCCUCACACUCUCUAUCAGUCACGUCAGGCUCGGUGGAUCACGGUAGCACUAGCUUCAGCUAGCCAGCCUCUGCCACUCCGGGCAUUUUCUUGCAUCCACGACGGCAAUGGCCACCGCUGAUGUACGUAUAGCUUGUCUCGAUCGUCUAUUCUCUUUCACGUGCUCUGAUCGAUGAUCGCUUCGAUGGGUUCUUCAUCCUUUGAUCUGCUUAUUAUAUGUGUGAUCUGACGAACGAACGGGUGAUCAUGAUCGAGCUCGACCUCGAGCUAGAUCGGUUUGUGUACGUCUUGACAUGUGCGUGGUGCUAAUGGACGUAACUGUGCGUCGUGCAGGUCCAGAACCCGACGGCCGCGCUGACGGAGGAGGCGCCCACGGUGGAGACGCCCGUCGCCGCCGAGGAGGUCGCGAAGACGGAGGAGGCCCCCGCGCCGGCCGAGGCCGAGGUCAAGGCGCCUGCUGCCCCCGUCGAGGUCGAGGAGACCAAGGAGGUGGCACCUGCCGCCGCUGAGACGGAGGAGGCCAAGGAGCCCGAGCCAGCAGCUGCGGCCGAGCCGGAGGCCGAGGCCCCCAAAGAGACAGAGGCGCCAGCCGUGGUCGAGACAGAGACCAAGGAGGCCGUGGCUGAGGCAGAGCCAGCGGCGCCCGAGGAGGUGAAGGAGGAGGCCGCGCCUCCUGCCGAGCCAGAAGCACCGGCCGUCGCCGAGGAGGCACCGGCUGCACCGGAGGAGGCGCCCGCGGCCGCGGCAGAGGAGCCGGCCGCCGCGGUGGCCAGCGUCAGCGUGUGAGGCGCCGGCGCGCGCGGAGGAGGAGCUGGCCGGGUCAGCUUCCACGGCGGCGGCCGUGUGCUCCUACGUGGCACGGCGUGAUGCUGAGUCAGCCAGUGGAGUGGAGUGGAAUGAUACUUUUUACUAGGUGUGGAGUGGGAGUGCUAUGCGCGGGGUCGCGUGACGUGGGCUAAAUAAAAGUGUUGUCGGGUCGGGUCGACGCCCAGUGUCGGUCAGCAGCGAGCGACGCAGUGCCACUCUCGCCGGCCUGCGUCUGCGUCUGCUUAGCUGGAGCCUUGUUACGGUGUGUGUCACAGUGUCAGUUCCACCUAUGAUCGAUCGGUAUCCUAACCGGUUUGCGUUAUCCCUGGCUCCUGCUUCAGUAUGUCUCUGGAUGAUCUCCAGCUAAUUUACCACUCUACCGAUGCAUCUAGACGAAUAACGUAGGCGUAUAUAUAGAUCCGGCGAUCGCCGGCGCCCGUGGCUUCUUCCUCGGGUUAUUCAGAUUCAG